RNAcentral lists this long non-coding RNA (270 nucleotides) under Brassica napus (rape). RNAcentral describes it as "long non-coding RNA (BNAP_LNC014402)". The record is from RNAcentral. Lineage: Eukaryota; Viridiplantae; Streptophyta; Magnoliopsida; Brassicales; Brassicaceae.
ACGGUGGACUUGAGGGAGGAUGAUGAAUUUAGUAGCCAUGAGAGUAUUGGGUGUGAUUGAUAUCUAUCUACACGAAUAAAGUAGAAGAGAAAUGCUCCACAGGCUGUCACCUCACCUCUCCUAUCUCCAUAUCACGCCACGUGUCAAGCAGAGACAACUUCUUCUUUACUCUUUUGCUUCGGCGGUUUUUUUUCUUCUUUUCUCUUUGGGCUUUCUGUGAAUUUAUUGGGCGGGCAUUUUUUUUAGGGUUAGCUUUGUCAUCUUCAUCUG